GAAAGAGACAUCAGAGACUUCUUUCUUUGUGCACAGAGGAAAGGCCAUGUGCAGACACAGUGAGAAGAUGAGCCUCUGCUAACCAGAAGCAAAGGCCUCACCAGGAACCAGCUUUGUCAGCACCUUGAUCUUGGACUUCCAGCCUCCAAAACUGAGGGCUGAUCAAGAACUUGUUCUACUAAAAUGCUUAGCUUCUCCAUGUUCUUGGAUUUUGUUGUGCUUGCAUGUGAUCCAUUGAAAAGGCGCUUCUGGAUUUUAUUGUAGAGUACAAACAGAAAACAUAAGAACAACAAUAAAAAAAUGGUCCUAUUUGUAUCCGAGUCUACCCCAUGACUCAAGGAAGAACUUCCAAUGGAAAAGGCACUGGUCCAUAUCGGCUGCAAGAAAUUUGUUUAUAAUGAUCAAUUCAAAUGAACAAACAGUGAUUGAAUGCCAAUCGUCCGAAAGAGUCUGUGCUAAGUGGCAGCACGCAAAAUGAGGAACCAGAUUUUGGGUCUGCCUCUCGGAGGCUCAAACUGCAGUGGAAGAGAGAGGAAGAGAGUGGGAGAGGGAA
Molecule: non-coding RNA, 553 nt
Organism: Vicugna pacos (alpaca)
Lineage: Eukaryota; Metazoa; Chordata; Mammalia; Artiodactyla; Camelidae
Source: RefSeq, a predicted model, not a curated record